ACCAUUGUCAACACAUACUGACAUUUCGACCAAAAAUCCCAUACCUUUACACCUAAUCAUUUAAACGUUAUCAUUAAGUGAUGUUAUCAAAUUUUACCAGCUUACACAGUUUAAUAAUGAAUUUUUUAAGUGGGUCAAGAUCCCAACUAACAUUUCUAUUACCUCUCUUAUAUAAUAUCUUUGUAAUUAUUCACGUUUUCAAUUAGUUUUAUAGUUUAAAUGGAGCGAUUAUAUGUCAAUAUAUGUUCACCCACAGGAGAUUUAUGAACUUCUUGAUUUUUAAUAUUUCCUAUAUGUGUUUUAAACCUGACAUCUAUAUUUCAUUUUGUUUGUCCUAUGUAACAUUUAUUACAACUUUCACAUUGUAUUUUAUAAAUGCACGAAUCCUCCCUUUUUUUUACUUUAUUUUUAUUUAUUAUUAUUAUUUUUUUAAAUAAAAUAUUUUCUUUAUUUGUGUAUUGACAAUUUGUACAAUAUGUAAAUUUGUUAAUUUAAUUGAUUGCAUGAAUAGGAUGACUGGGUAGUUCACAUUAGAAUCCCCUCACAAAAAAAUUGUUUUGUAAUAGGUCUCUACAUCUGGUGCGUUUAAGACGUUGCGUCUGGUUGUUCGGAAGUAUUUUGAAGUGUUGUAGAUUCACUUACAGUU
Molecule: long non-coding RNA, 646 nt
Organism: Daktulosphaira vitifoliae (grape phylloxera)
Lineage: Eukaryota; Metazoa; Arthropoda; Insecta; Hemiptera; Phylloxeridae
Exons: 3
Source: RefSeq, a predicted model, not a curated record